AUCUAGCUUCUAAACUUUGUUUGGUCAUGGCAACUCAUCUGUCGUCAUUUUUCAUCAUCAAACAAAGUUUGGAAUUUAGA
Non-coding RNA from Puccinia sorghi, 80 nucleotides. Lineage: Eukaryota; Fungi; Basidiomycota; Pucciniomycetes; Pucciniales; Pucciniaceae. The record is from the annotation of a GenBank genome assembly.